Molecule: ribosomal RNA, 402 nt
Filed under: uncultured flagellate
Lineage: Eukaryota
Description: bacterial SSU rRNA
Rfam family: Eukaryotic small subunit ribosomal RNA
Source: RNAcentral
UCGUGUGUUAGUGCUUUGUGUUCUGGCCGAACUUCCAAUCGAAUUGGCUAUUCUUCAUUGACUGGUCAGUUGUCUUGAUUCAUUUACUUUAUCAAACUUACAGCUAAUAACGCAGGCUUUAUGCUAUGACAGCAUUAGCAUGGAAUAAUAAUUUAGGACUCCGUAUCGAUUUUGUUGCUGUCUAGGACUGAAGUGAUGAUUCAAAGGGAUAGUUGGCGGUGCUCGUGUUCAGCGGCCUCAGUCGAAAUUCUCGGAUUCGCUGAAGACUAACUUACGCGAAAGCGUUCACCAAGGAUGUCUUCUUUAAUCAAGAACGAAAGUUGGGGGAUCGAAGACGAUCAGAUACCGUCGUAGUCUCAACCAUAAACUAUGCCGACUAGGGAUGUGUGAACGUUGCAUUUU